GGACGAGGAUGCGCUCUCCAUUGGCUGCUGCGCGCGCUCGUCCCGCCCGCUCGCCGACCAUUCAAUAAACUUUCUCCCGGCUGCAGCUGCCUGGGUCGGGCAAAACAGCUGCAGCGACGCGCAGGUUGCGGGCUGCGAGAGGGAGAGCGCCAAAGGGGCGCUGGAUGGGCGUGUGCGUAAAAAGGGCUGGAGAGGAGCGCUGCUGCUGCUGCUGCUGCUGAGGCAGGGAGAAUGGUGAGGGUUAGGAGGAGGAAGAUGGCACCGCUGCCGCCGCCUCCAGCUGCCCUUUGAGCUCUCCGGAGGGAAGGAGGAGCCCUCGGCCCCACGUUCCUUCGACGGGCCGCCUCUGUCCCCGGGGAGAACCCAACGCCAGGUGUCUAUGGAUGUGCAGCGGAAGAAGAAAUGGACCAACCUCACCAUUGGCCUCCUUUUCCUGUCGGGAGGGAUUGAGUACGCUGUGAUCCUACCCACCCUCUGGGCUUACCUGCAAACUCUCAAUGCUGAGCCCUACUUCCUGGGCCUGGGCAUCUCUGCCUUUAGCUUUGCCGGGCUGAUCACAGGCCCGCUGUUUGGAUAUUGGUCUGACCGUACCCAUAAAACCAAGGCCAUCAUCCUCUUCGCCAACUUGUUUCAGAUAGCAGGGAACUUCAUGUACUUUGUUGGUGGUUCCAAAUGGAUGCUUCUGAGUGGUCGGCUGGUGGCAGGUGUGGGCACAGGAGCAGGAGCAUCCAUCUUUGGCUACCUCAGCCGAACCACCACGUCCCAGGAGCGCGCCACGGUGUUUGCGGCUGUCAUGGCAUGCCGGCAGGCUGGGCUACUCAUCGGGCCAGCUUGUAACCUGUUCCUGCGCCUCUGUAACUUCCAGGUGGGGCCCUUCGUGGUCGACAAGUUCACAUCGCCUGGGAUCUUCAUGUGCAUGGUGUGGCUGCUUCUGCAGAUCAUUGUUGCGACGCUGUACUACGAUCUGCCGCCACCGCCGUUGGGGCACUCCUCAAAGGCCCCGGCGGCGGCUGUGCGGGACGCUGUGGAAGAGGAGGAGGAGAAGCCUCUUGUGCAACAUGAGGAGGCAGCGGAGAGCAGCAGCUACGGCAGCACCUCCACAGAGCAUCGGGAAGCUGUUUCGGGUGACGAGGUUCGGUAUGUGCCCAAUGGGCACUUGGCUGAUGAAGAAGCCUCUUUGGAGAAGACUCCCGCCUAUAAUUUCAGCUCCAUGACAGAGUACCUGAGGGAAGAGGUGGUGGUUCUGCUGACAGCUCAGUUCAUUACGCUCUUCAAUCAAACUGCCCUAGAGACAAUGGUGACCCCAAUCACCCAGAAGUUCUUGAAUUUUGGGGAGCUGGAGAACAGCAUCAUGUAUUUCCUCUGCGGUGUGGAGGUCAUUGCUGGCUUCUUCCUGGUCCGCUGCCUGAGCACUCGCCUGUCUGACCGCAUCCUCUUGGUCCUUGGCCUGGUCAUCUGCAACAUAGCCUGUGCUUGGUGCCUGUUCUUCCUGGUUCGGCCCCGAGGUACCUUUACCAUCCUCCUUACAGAGUUGGUCGUGGGCGUUUUCCUGCAAGUCCUGGGCCUUCCCUUUGUUGCAGUCUCCCAAGUGUCGCUCUUUUCUAAAGUCACAGCCGAGAGAACACAAGGGUUCAGUCAGGGUCUCCGUCGCUCUGUAGGGGGCGUGGCCACCAUCCUUGGGCCUCUGUGGGCUGGAGGCUUGACCAACAACUUGGACAUCAUGCUGGGGGUGAUGAUGGGUCUGCUGAGUCUCCUCACGAUCAUGGUGGGGCUCUCAUAUGCAUACCUGGUGGAGCCGCCCAGAAGAUACGUGUCAUCGCAAACAUCUGAAGAUGAAUGCAGCUCAUGACAGCCCCGGCGGAUGGAGGUGCUUCUGAAGGAACAGAGAAGGUCCUGCUCACCCAGGUGUCUCUUUGACUGGUGCUGGCUGGAUCCUGGUUCCAUGUUGCUGCUCUCCUGCUGGGAUGGGGAGUGGGAAAGAACUUGUCUCCACCCAUUGAGCAAAUCUCAGCUCAGCCACCAACCCGUGCUAUUUCACGUUCCUCCUCCUGGCCAGCUCUCCUGUCGCCCACCACCUGGCCGAGGACUUGGCUCCAUGCUGCCAACUAAGAGCAAAGAGAGCCAUCUCCUUCCAUGGCAUUCCUCAUUUCUUAGCCUGAACGGGGCCUGGCAAGCCAUGGAACCGGAUUCGUGUUUGGAUCUGGACUGCUGUCUGUAUGCGGCCACUUCCAGUUUCUCAAGGGCCCUCUUCUUCACCUGGGGUCCGUGGGCACCAUAUUAAAGCUUGCUUCAUUCCAGGGAUGGGGAACCUGCUGCCCUCCAGCCAUUGCUGGACUCCAGUGCCCAUCAGUCCCAGCCAGCAAGGCCAGUGGGUGGUCAUGGAUGAUGGGAGUUCUAGCGUGGCAGUAUAUAGGGGGUCAUAGGUUUCUCAUCCCUGCUGGAAGUCUCUGCAUCUCUUGGCGCUGCCCUCUCCCUCCCUUUUCCCCUGCCCCUUCCUGUAGUUGUUGCCACCAAAUGGCACCUGGCAUUGUUUCCUUGCAAUAUUGCACAUGCAGGCAGUGGGGUCAGCUGCCAUGCUUGCAAGGUGUGACCCUGGGCCUGUUUGGCGAGAGGCACUGGAGCGUAAUUGAGAAUCACUCUGCAUCCUGGAGGUUUGGGCUGCGUUCAAACAGCGUCCCUGAGCACAGACUUGCAAGUUAAUCUGUCGGUGCUGCCAUUUAGGGGCUGAGCUGCGUCUUGGAGGGUGGAUUAACACUGGGCAGCUGUCCGAGUAGCAGGUGUGGCUGUCAUUUCCAUUGGAUAAGGAUUUGGUCUCAGGGGAGAGCUGAACCCCGUGGCUCUCCAACCCCAUAUCCACAUAUCCCUCGCUCCAGCUCCAAAGUUAGAAAUGAGCCCUGGGUUUCGGGGUGGGGUUUGAAAUGUCUUCUGGGAGGGGCUACAGGGGAAAAGCAAUGGCUAGAGGCAAAAUUCAGGGCCGCCCCUCCAACUUCACUGACUGUUUCCCUUACUGCAUUGGAUCCAGACCGUAAGAAUGCAUAAAUACUAAUCCGUUAGUACGUCAGUCAUUAUUUAUUUAGACACUUGAUAUAUGCCUUAUAUUUUAGAAAACCAACCAACCGCUUACACUUCCUCCUCCCUUCCUGCUUGUUAUUUUUGUGAUGACCUUUGGUUAGCCACACAACCACACUGCUGCAAUAAUUAAUCCCACUGAAAAUGGUCACCAGGAAAUUUGCACGCUCAGACUUGCAUUUGUUUGAAGCAUUUUUAGUUCCCUCUUCGUAUGAAAAAGGUCACCCGGAGUGGCUUAUGGAGAAUAACCUUCCCUGCUCUCAAGGUUGCAAUCUUAAAAACAUGACACCAAAGGAAAA
Molecule: RNA transcript, 3368 nt
Organism: Podarcis muralis (Common wall lizard)
Lineage: Eukaryota; Metazoa; Chordata; Lepidosauria; Squamata; Lacertidae
Gene name: major facilitator superfamily domain-containing protein 8-like
Source: RefSeq, a predicted model, not a curated record